GCCGGAAUAGCUCAGUUGGGAGAGCGUUAGACUGAAGUUGUUUAUGCAACAAUCAUCUAAAGGCAUCAGUUCAAUCCCGGGUUCCAGCA
This 89-nucleotide transfer RNA is filed under the name Dreissena polymorpha. It matches the Rfam family "tRNA". From Rfam's summary of the family: Transfer RNA (tRNA) molecules are approximately 80 nucleotides in length. Lineage: Eukaryota; Metazoa; Mollusca; Bivalvia; Myida; Dreissenidae. The record is from Rfam by way of RNAcentral.